This 22-nucleotide microRNA is filed under the name Oreochromis niloticus (Nile tilapia). RNAcentral describes it as "oni-miR-10916". The record is from miRBase by way of RNAcentral. Lineage: Eukaryota; Metazoa; Chordata; Actinopteri; Cichliformes; Cichlidae.
UGCUUACAGCCUCUGCUGCACA